RNAcentral lists this ribosomal RNA (497 nucleotides) under uncultured bacterium. RNAcentral's name for it is "partial 16S ribosomal RNA". It matches the Rfam family "Bacterial small subunit ribosomal RNA", at positions 28 to 507 of the family's 1533-position model. The record is from RNAcentral.
GAUGAACGCUGGCGGCGUGCCUAAUACAUGCAAGUCGAGCGAACGGACGAGAAGCUUGCUUCUCUGAUGUUAGCGGCGGACGGGUGAGUAACACGUGGAUAACCUACCUAUAAGACUGGGAUAACUUCGGGAAACCGGAGCUAAUACCGGAUAAUAUUUUGAACCGCAUGGUUCAAAAGUGAAAGACGGUCUUGCUGUCACUUAUAGAUGGAUCCGCGCUGCAUUAGCUAGUUGGUAAGGUAACGGCUUACCAAGGCAACGAUGCAUAGCCGACCUGAGAGGGUGAUCGGCCACACUGGAACUGAGACACGGUCCAGACUCCUACGGGAGGCAGCAGUAGGGAACCUUCCGCAAUGGGCGAAAGCCUGACGGAGCAACGCCGCGUGAGUGAUGAAGGUCUUCGGAUCGUAAAACUCUGUUAUUAGGGAAGAACAUAUGCGUAAGUAACUGUGCACAUCUUGACGGUACCUAAUCAGAAAGCCACGGCUAACUACGUG